RNAcentral lists this unclassified non-coding RNA (520 nucleotides) under uncultured Glomus. RNAcentral's name for it is "SSU rRNA". It matches the Rfam family "Eukaryotic small subunit ribosomal RNA", at positions 569 to 1092 of the family's 1831-position model. Lineage: Eukaryota; Fungi; Glomeromycota; Glomeromycetes; Glomerales; Glomeraceae. The record is from RNAcentral.
GGCAGCCGCGGUAAUUCCAGCUCCAAUAGCGUAUAUUAAAGUUGUUGCAGUUAAAAAGCUCGUAGUUGAAUUUCGGGGUCAGUAGGUUGGUCGUGCCACUGGUAUGUACUGGUCUCACUGAUUCCUCCUUCCUGAUGAACCGUAAUGCCAUUAAUUUGGUGUUGCGGGGAAUCUGGACUGUUACUUUGAAAAAUUAGAGUGUUUAAAGCAGGCUAACGCUUGAAUACAUUAGCAUGGAAUAAUGAAAUAGGACGAUCGAUCCUAUUUUGUUGGUUUCUAGGAUUGACGUAAUGAUUAAUAGGGAUAGUUGGGGGCAUUAGUAUUCAAUUGUCAGAGGUGAAAUUCUUGGAUUUAUUGAAGACUAACUACUGCGAAAGCAUUUGCCAAGGAUGUUUUCAUUAAUCAAGAACGAAAGUUAGGGGAUCGAAGACGAUCAGAUACCGUCGUAGUCUUAACCAUAAACUAUGCCGACUAGGGAUCGGAUGAUGUUAAUUUUUAAUGACUCAUUCGGCGCCUUAAC